Long non-coding RNA from Equus asinus (donkey), 2844 nucleotides. NCBI's taxonomy places the organism in Eukaryota, Metazoa, Chordata, Mammalia, Perissodactyla, Equidae. The record is from Ensembl.
UUGCAAAAUAUGUUGCUUUAUUAAAUCAGUACAGAGAAAUAUUCUCCAAAGAUAAUUAAUGUAAAAUCUAAGACAUUCUGCUAUAUCUCACUUAAAAUCUACCUCCAAGCGAAAGCACAGCUUCACUUAUAAGCAUCUAGGACCUAAAACUAGAGAAUUUGUUUAACAUUACAAGUUUAAAAAAGUUUUAAAAACCUCAGUUCAAUUCAAUAAGAACACAAAUGUUCAGUCCUACUACCAAAUCAUCAUCAAAAAACUAAAUAUUGCAACAUAAAAAAUUUUGUUGAAUCAGAUAAUGAUUUUUGCUAAUUCAGAAACAAUUUACCUUUAUACUCUAUUUCAAAGGAAAUCUGGGGGCGUGAAAUAGAAACCCUGAUUUAAAAAGAUGACACUCUAAAUAUGAUUAUUUUACAUUAAAUUGGCAUUUCCUUCAAAAGAAUGAAAUAAUUAUAACUAUUUGACUCUAAUUUUUUUAUUUUUGACGUGAAAAAUAUUUAAUGAUGUUAUGAAAUCCUACCUCCAACAACAGAGAGAGUUAUGACAACCAUAGAAAUAAAUAUCAGCGAUGUCAAAGAAAACACUGGCAAGCCCAUAAGGAAAUCAUGAACUUCAUUUCUCUUUUCAGAGGUUUUUUCUCCCCCAAAGACACUGACUGGUUUCCAUAAUCACUCACAUUGACAUCACUGAGGCGACUUGCUGUUGUGGUGCUUUUGACUUCUAUGUUAGAUUCUAGUGCCAGUGAAUAUCCAGAUCAUAUUAUCCCAUUUGUCUUUGGAGUGAAGAUGGUAAACAACUGUUUUUCCAAAGAUGUCUUCAUCUUUUGGAUUAAUAUUUUGCCAUAACUUUACAAAUUUCCAAAUUUUUCAGUCUUCAUAUAAUGGAAAUUUAAAAUGAGACUCCAGGACUGAAACCAGUUUUUGUUGAACCCAACUAAUCCCCAAAAGGCUUUGAACAAAGACUUUAAAUAGGUCACUUAAAGAGCUAUUGUCGUCAUGAUUAAAUACUGAAGAGUGAAAUCUCUGGAUCAAAUGGUAACUCUAUGUUUACCAUUUUGAGGAAAUGUCAAUCUGUUUUCUAAAGUGGCUGCACCAUUUUACAUUCCCACCAGCAAUAUGCUAUGGUUCCAAUUUCUCCAUACCCUCCUCACCAACACUUGUUACUGUCUAUCUUUUUUAUUAUAACCAUUAUAGCAGAUGUGAAGUGAUAUCUCAUUGUGGUUUUAAUUUGCAUUUCCCUAAGGACUAAUGAUUUUGAGCAUUUUUUCAUGUGCUUAUUAGUCAUUCACAUAUGUUCUUGAGAGAAAUGUCUAUUCAAAUCAUUUGCACAUUUUUAAAUUGGAUUAUCUAUCUUUUUAUUAUUGAAUUGUAAGUUAUUUUUAUAUUCCAUAUACAGGUUCCUUAUCAGAUAUAUGCUUUUCAAAAAUUGUCUCCCUAUCUUGGGUUAUAUUUUCACUUUCUUGAUGGUAUCGUUUGAAGCACGAUAAAACAUAUGCCCCACACAUGCACAUACCACACAAAAUACGUAAAUGAAUGUUCAAAGCAAUAUUAUUCAUAAUAGCCAAAAAAAGAAAAGAACUCAAAUGUGCUUCACCCAUUGAAAGAAAAAACAAAAUGUGUUACAUCCAUACAGUGGAAUCGUAUUUGGCAAUAAAAAACAAUGAGGUACUGAUAGCUGCAACACGGAUGAAUCUCAAAAACAUUAUGCUUAGUGAAAGAAACCGUCACAAAAGACCACAUAUUGUAUCAUCAUAUUUAAAAUGUCCAGAAUAGUCAAUUCUAUAAAGACAAAAAAUAUAUUAAUGGUUGCCUAGGGCUAGGGAGGUAAAGGUGAGGGAUGAAAAGGGGGAAUGUGGAGUGGCUGCCAAGGGACACAAGGUUUCUUUGGGGCAGGAUGAAAUGUUCUAAAAUUAUAUUAUGGUGAUAGUUUCACAACUCUGUAAAUACACUAAAACCAUUGAAUUGUACACUCUAAACAGAUGAACUUUAUGAUAUGUAAAUUAUAUCUCAAAAAUGCUGUUUUUUAAAAAACUCGUGUACAAUCUUCACAUAUAUGAAAGGUAAGCCAGAACCCCUUAAGGAAGUACCCUAAUACACUUCCAGAAGUUAUACUGUAAGUCUUCCUCUUAUUCUUCCCCAAAGGGACUUACAGGCGACUGUGCAAUUGGGGAAGAAAAAAUAAUUAAACUUUUGAGGGAUUACUAGACAGCAGCUCUGUAUCAGCACCAAUUCCUGCAGAUUCCAAAUGCCAGUAUGGUCCUAUGGUCCACCAGUCAGAGGAAGGGCUUAUGUAGAUCAGGUGACCAACAGAGUUUGGGCUUGGGAUUUGUCAUUCAGAAUAUAUAGUGAGCCCCAUGGGUUUCCAACCCACACUGUGGUUAUUUCCUGUUUCUGGAAUGCAUAGCUGGAAUAGAUAUCAUCAGCAACUGGCAAAAUCCCACUUUCAGUUCUCUGGCCAUGGAGUGAGGGUUAUUACAGUAGGAAAACUCAAGUAGUACCCUAAAAAGCAACAUGAUAUUUUUGGAAGAACUGCAGAUUAAUUACACUGUAAAGGACUUCAAGGAUACAGAUAUGAUUCCCUUCAUAUCCCCAUUCAACUCACCUAUUUGGCCUCUACAGAAGACAGAUGUAUCUUGGAAAAUUAUAGUGGAUUUUCAUAAACUUAAUCACAUAGUGACUCCAAAUCCAGCUGCUAUUUCAGCUAUUGUUUCUUUACUGAAGCAAAUUAACACAUCCUCCAGUAUGCAGCUAUUGAUCUGUCAAUUUUUUUCUUCUCCAUGGUGAAGACCAUCAGAAGCAGUUUUCUUUCAGUUGGUAGGACCAGCAAUAUACCUUUACAGUCCUAUCU